This 19-nucleotide small nuclear RNA is filed under the name Arabidopsis thaliana (thale cress). Its description in RNAcentral is "snRNA_03907". Lineage: Eukaryota; Viridiplantae; Streptophyta; Magnoliopsida; Brassicales; Brassicaceae. The record is from RNAcentral.
GGAUCCCAUCAGAACUCCG